AAAGAAAAAAGGCUCAUGCUGAAUGAAGGUGGAUUACUUGGCCAUUUCAAAGUGUUUAUAGCUUGGACAAGCCAUUACAUAAAGCCUUUAGUGCAGUGGAAUUGCAGAUGGAGAAGGAAUUUUACAGAUGGGCAGUUUUAGUUGACCAGUUUAUAGUAUAUGUCAGGGAUCAUCUCCAUUUAACAUCUAGGGCACCAAGAGGUGAUUGCCAAAAUAAGAGAGCAUUUAAAAGCCCGGAGGUAGAGUAGGGCUGUGAAGUUGUGGCAUGCUGCUACAAGCCCUGCAACAUGGAAAAUGUUAGCUAGCCUUGACUCAUCGUCUUCAUCUUUCUUUUUAAUGCAGGUAGUCGUCUUCAGAAAUGAUGCGGAAAGUAAAAAAGGAACAGCUACCACUAAUUAAGCAAUAAACAAUGACUUCUUUUGCAGAUUACAAGUCUCCUGUGACUCAGCACUCAUAGUAACUAUUUCCCUGUGAAUAUGUUUUUCAUGCUGGAGGCUGGGCCCUUUUACAGGGACAGAGCCACAACACUGGAAGAAGAUGAGUUUCUUUGGGUAGAGUCCCAGCAGUUGCUAUGGGAAGGCUGCACACUCAACAGACUGGAAGCAAAGAUGGCUGCUGAAGAUUCCCAGAGGUAGUGCUGAAUCAUUUAGCUAAAGCGGCACUAAAUUUGGAGAGACUUUUAAAAAACAACUUAAUUAUUGUCACCCUUAGAGGUAUAAGCUGAUGACGGGAGUGUCCUUCUUGGGUGGUGUAGCUUCUUUUGGAUUCAAGAGAGAAGAGAUAUGAUGGUGGGGAAAGGUUGCAAAUCUUUGUUUAACAGAAAAUGACUAGAGAUGGGCAUGAAUUAAAAAACGAAUCAGCAAAUUCAUUCAAAAAUCACUCAUUUAUUAAUUCAUAUUCAUAUGAAUCAAUGCCUCAACAAAUAGAAUUGAUGAAUAUCUUUGAUUAUCAAUUUAUUUGGCUAUAGAAUGGCCCCCCAGGCACCUAGAGACACCAUAGAUGAACUUUGUCACCUUUAAAUAGCUCCUUGUGGCUCUAUGCAAUGUCCGGAUGAGCCAGAUAAAAACCCCAAACUCUCUACACUGUAUUUUUGCAUUUCUUGACUGAUUCCUCUGCUAGCACAAUCAAGGCUGCAAAAGCCACCCAUGCUCCUUCAAAUUUGCCCAGGAAAUAAAGCAGACAACAACAUAGUUGUGAAAGACCA
RNAcentral lists this long non-coding RNA (1204 nucleotides) under Pogona vitticeps (central bearded dragon). RNAcentral describes it as "lncRNA (ENSPVIG00000025618.1)". The record is from RNAcentral. Lineage: Eukaryota; Metazoa; Chordata; Lepidosauria; Squamata; Agamidae.